Molecule: long non-coding RNA, 626 nt
Organism: Pipistrellus kuhlii (Kuhl's pipistrelle)
Lineage: Eukaryota; Metazoa; Chordata; Mammalia; Chiroptera; Vespertilionidae
Exons: 4
Source: RefSeq, a predicted model, not a curated record
UGAGCAGCAGCAUCUUCUCCCAGUGGCAACAGUAGGGCAAGAUAGCUUUAGUUUAGUGUCUCACAUUACUACCAAUCCGUUGGUCCUCUCUUCUGCCCAAGUCACAGCUUCUAUCACUGUUGUCAGUGUCACCUGCUAAUGGCUGCUGAUGUUUCACCUGCCUGCCUGUGCUCUGAAAAUAAUAUUUGCCAAGAGUUGGCCAGACACUAAAGUGGACGGAAUCAAGCAAGACUUCCAUCUGCUGCCUGUAUGUGCUGUCUGUAUUCACUCUGCGUAUUACCUGAGCAGACAAAGCGACUUACUUCCAGACAUCAGUUCCACCAGGUCUACAUUUUUUAAGAUGAAUAAAACAUCUGCUUGUCUCCUGGGUAGCACCUGGGCACCUCUCUCUGAUAAGGUGGUCUCUCCAAUUCACCGAGGGUUUCUCACUGCUAAUGACUGCUGCCAAGAUAUAUAAAUGAAAUGGUUCAGCUAAGAGAAGAAUAUGAGGUUGCCAUAUUGGAGACACUUUGGUAUGAUGGGAAAAACACCCAACUGAGAAUCAAACUACAUGGAUGCCAUUCCAUCUGCCACUAAUUAGGUACAUGGGCUUCAGCUUAUUAUAAACUCAGAGUCCAAAGAAAGCG